GGGUUGUGAGGUUAAGCGACUAAGCGUACACGGUGGAUGCCCUGGCAGUCAGAGGCGAUGAAGGACGUGCUAAUCUGCGAUAAGCGUCGGUAAGGUGAUAUGAACCGUUAUAACCGGCGAUUUCCGAAUGGGGAAACCCAGUGUGUUUCGACACACUAUCAUUAACUGAAUCCAUAGGUUAAUGAGGCGAACCGGGGGAACUGAAACAUCUAAGUACCCUGAGGAAAAGAAAUCAACCGAGAUUCCCCCAGUAGCGGCGAGCGAACGGGGAGCAGCCCAGAGCCUGAAUCAGUAUGUGUGUUAGUGGAAGCGUCUGGAAAGGCGCGCGAUACAGGGUGACAGCCCCGUACACAAAAAUGCACAUGCUGUGAGCUCGAUGAGUAGGGCGGGACACGUGGUAUCCUGUCUGAAUAUGGGGGGACCAUCCUCCAAGGCUAAAUACUCCUGACUGACCGAUAGUGAACCAGUACCGUGAGGGAAAGGCGAAAAGAACCCCGGCGAGGGGAGUGAAAAAGAACCUGAAACCGUGUACGUACAAGCAGUGGGAGCACAGAGCAAUCUGUGUGACUGCGUACCUUUUGUAUAAUGGGUCAGCGACUUAUAUUCUGUAGCAAGGUUAACCGAAUAGGGGAGCCGAAGGGAAACCGAGUCUUAACUGGGCGUUAAGUUGCAGGGUAUAGACCCGAAACCCGGUGAUCUAGCCAUGGGCAGGUUGAAGGUUGGGUAACACUAACUGGAGGACCGAACCGACUAAUGUUGAAAAAUUAGCGGAUGACUUGUGGCUGGGGGUGAAAGGCCAAUCAAACCGGGAGAUAGCUGGUUCUCCCCGAAAGCUAUUUAGGUAGCGCCUCGUGAAUUCAUCUCCGGGGGUAGAGCACUGUUUCGGCAAGGGGGUCAUCCCGACUUACCAACCCGAUGCAAACUGCGAAUACCGGAGAAUGUUAUCACGGGAGACACACGGCGGGUGCUAACGUCCGUCGUGAAGAGGGAAACAACCCAGACCGCCAGCUAAGGUCCCAAAGUCAUGGUUAAGUGGGAAACGAUGUGGGAAGGCCCAGACAGCCAGGAUGUUGGCUUAGAAGCAGCCAUCAUUUAAAGAAAGCGUAAUAGCUCACUGGUCGAGUCGGCCUGCGCGGAAGAUGUAACGGGGCUAAACCAUGCACCGAAGCUGCGGCAGCGACGCUGAUGCGUUGUUGGGUAGGGGAGCGUUCUGUAAGCCUGCGAAGGUGUGCUGUGAGGCAUGCUGGAGGUAUCAGAAGUGCGAAUGCUGACAUAAGUAACGAUAAAGCGGGUGAAAAGCCCGCUCGCCGGAAGACCAAGGGUUCCUGUCCAACGUUAAUCGGGGCAGGGUGAGUCGACCCCUAAGGCGAGGCCGAAAGGCGUAGUCGAUGGGAAACAGGUUAAUAUUCCUGUACUUGGUGUUACUGCGAAGGGGGGACGGAGAAGGCUAUGUUGGCCGGGCGACGGUUGUCCCGGUUUAAGCGUGUAGGCUGGUUUUCCAGGCAAAUCCGGAAAAUCAAGGCUGAGGCGUGAUGACGAGGCACU
This 1545-nucleotide ribosomal RNA is filed under the name Escherichia coli. Its description in RNAcentral is "partial 23S ribosomal RNA". It matches the Rfam family "Bacterial large subunit ribosomal RNA", at positions 1 to 1578 of the family's 2925-position model. Lineage: Bacteria; Pseudomonadati; Pseudomonadota; Gammaproteobacteria; Enterobacterales; Enterobacteriaceae. The record is from RNAcentral.